CUGAACCAGCCAAGUAGCGUGAAGGAUGACUGCCCUAUGGGUUGUAAACUUCUUUUAUACGGGAAUAAAGUGAGCCACGUGUGGCUUUUUGUAUGUACCGUAUGAAUAAGGAUCGGCUAACUCCGUGCCAGCAGCCGCGGUAAUACGGAGGAUUCGAGCGUUAUCCGGAUUUAUUGGGUUUAAAGGGAGCGUAGGCGGGUUGUUAAGUCAGUUGUGAAAGUUUGCGG
RNAcentral lists this ribosomal RNA (227 nucleotides) under uncultured bacterium. RNAcentral's name for it is "partial 16S ribosomal RNA". It matches the Rfam family "Bacterial small subunit ribosomal RNA", at positions 383 to 607 of the family's 1533-position model. The record is from RNAcentral.